Molecule: long non-coding RNA, 912 nt
Organism: Mytilus californianus (California mussel)
Lineage: Eukaryota; Metazoa; Mollusca; Bivalvia; Mytilida; Mytilidae
Exons: 2
Source: RefSeq, a predicted model, not a curated record
UUUUUAUACGACCGCAAAAAAAUUUUUGUGGUCGUAUAUUGGUAUGACGUUGGCGUCGUCGUCGUCGUCGUCGUCGUCGUCGUCGUCCGGCGUCGUCGUCGUCCGGCGUCGUCGUCCGAAUACACAUUAGUUUUCGCACUCUAACUUUAGUUUAAGUGAAUGGAUCUCAUUGAAAUUUUACCAUAAGGUUCAAUACCACAAAAGGAAGGUGGGGAUUGAUUUUGGGGGUUGUGGUACUAACAGUUAAGGAAUUAGGGGCCAAAAGGGGCCAAAAAUAAGCAUUUUUGUAACUUCCAGACAUAACUUGUGUGUAAGUGUAUGGAUCUCUCUGACAUUGUACCACAAGGUUCCAUAUCACAAAGGGAAUGCUGGGAUUGAUUUUGGGGGUAAUUGUCUCCAAAUUUUAGGAAUUAGGGGCCAAAAAGGGGCAAAAAACAAGCAUUUUUCUAGUUUCAUGACAAUAACUUGCUUGUAAGUGUAUGGAUCUUUAUGAAAUUGUACUACAAGGUUCCAUAUCACAAAGGGAAGGCUGGGAUUGAUUUUGGGGGUUUUCACUCAAAAUUUUAGUAAUUAGGGGCCAUAAAAGGGCAAAAAAAACAUGCAUUUUUCUAGUUUCAGGACAAUAACUUGUGUGUAAGUGUAUGGAUCUUUAUGAAAUUGUACUGCAAGGUUCCAUAUCACAAAGGGAAAGCUGGAAUUGAGUUUGGGGGUAAUUGCCCUAAACGUUUAGGAAUUUGGGGCCAAAAAGGGGCCAAAAAACAAGCAUUUUUCUAGUUUCCAGACAAUAACUUGUGUUCAAGUGUAUGAAUCUCUCUGAAAUUGUAGUGCAAGGUACCAUACCACAAAGGGAAAGCUGGGAUUGAGUUUGGGGGCGGUGAAUCAUAAGGGGGUUCAAAAAAUUGGGGGGGGGGA